CCCUUAGAUGUCCUGGGCUGCACGCGCGCUACACUGGAAGUUACGGAUUGAGAUACUACCUUGUCCGAAAUGGUCCGGGUAAUCACCCAAAAGCUUGUCAUAAUUGGAAUGGAUUAUUGUAACUAGUAAUCCUGAACGAGGAAUUCCUAGUAAGUCCCAGUCAACAGCUGGUACUGAUUACGUCCCUGCCCUUAGUACACACCGCCCGUCGCUACUACUGAUUGGACGUUUAAGCAAGAUUUUUAAACACUGACAGUGUGUAGUUCACGCUAUACUACAGUGAGAAGAAGAAGAUCGAGCUUACUUGUCUAGAGGAAGUAAAAGUCGUAACA
This 332-nucleotide ribosomal RNA is filed under the name uncultured eukaryote. RNAcentral describes it as "partial 18S ribosomal RNA". It matches the Rfam family "Eukaryotic small subunit ribosomal RNA", at positions 1470 to 1796 of the family's 1831-position model. The record is from RNAcentral.